CAGUAGCCACGGGAAUACGUAGGUGGCAAGCGUUGUCCGGAAUUAUUGGGCGUAAAGGGCUCGCAGGCGGUCUCUUAAGUCUGAUGUGAAAGCCCCCGGCUCAACCGGGGAGGGUCAUUGGAAACUGGGAAACUUGAGUGCAGAAGAGGAGAGUGGAAUUCCACGUGUAGCGGUGAAAUGCGUAGAGAUGUGAGGAACACCAGUGGCGAAGGCGACUCUCUGGUCUGUAACUGACGCUGAGGAGCGAAAGCGUGGGGAGCGAACAGGAUUAGAUACCCGGGUAGUCCCUGUCUCUUAUACA
Molecule: ribosomal RNA, 301 nt
Filed under: uncultured bacterium
Lineage: Bacteria
Description: partial 16S ribosomal RNA
Rfam family: Bacterial small subunit ribosomal RNA
Source: RNAcentral